GGACCCGCACAAGCGGUGGAGCAUGUGGUUUAAUUCGAAGCAACGCGAAGAACCUUACCUAAACUUGACAUCCUGAUGACCGGAGGGUAAUGCCUCCUUUGGUAGCUUGCUAUCACAUCAGUGACAGGUGGUGCAUGGUUGUCGUCAGCUCGUGUCGUGAGAUGUUGGGUUAAGUCCCGCAACGAGCGCAACCCUUAUCCUUAGUAGCCAUCAUUCAGUUGGGCACUCUAGGGAGACUGCCAGGGAUAACCUGGAGGAAGGUGGGGAUGACGUCAAAUCAUCAUGCCCCUUAUGUUUAGGGCUACACACGUGCUACAAUGGCUGCUACAAAGGGAAGCGAAAGAGUGAUCUGAAGCAAACCUCAAAAAAGCAGUCCCAGUUCGGAUUGUAGUCUGCAACUCGACUACAUGAAGUUGGAAUCGCUAGUAAUCGCGAAUCAGAAUGUCGCGGUGAAUACGUUCCCGGGUCUU
RNAcentral lists this ribosomal RNA (470 nucleotides) under uncultured bacterium. RNAcentral describes it as "bacterial SSU rRNA". It matches the Rfam family "Bacterial small subunit ribosomal RNA", at positions 917 to 1382 of the family's 1533-position model. The record is from RNAcentral.